AGAGUUUGAUCAUGGCUCAGAAUGAACGUUGGCGGCGUGGAUUAGGCAUGCAAGUCGAGCGCGAACCCCGCAAGGGGUGAAAGCGGCGAAAGGGACAGUAAUACGUAGAUUAUCUGCCCUCGGGACCGGGAUAGCUGCGGGAAACUGCAGGUAAUACCGGAUAACAUCUCCGGAUCAAAGGUGUGAUUCCGCCUGAGGAUGAGUCUGCGUCCUAUUAGCUUGUUGGUAGGGUAACGGCCUACCAAGGCAAUGAUGGGUAGCGGGUGUGAGAGCACGACCCGCGUCACUGGGACUGAGACACUGCCCAGACACCUACGGGUGGCUGCAGUCGAGGAUCUUCGGCAAUGGGCGCAAGCCUGACCGAGCGACGCCGCGUGCGGGAUGAAGGCUUUCGGGUUGUAAACCGCUGUCAGAGGGGAUGAAAUGUAGGUGGGUUCUCCCAUCUAUUUGACAUAUCCUCAGAGGAAGUACGGGCUAAGUUCGUGCCAGCCGCCGCGGUAAUAC
RNAcentral lists this ribosomal RNA (504 nucleotides) under uncultured bacterium. RNAcentral describes it as "bacterial SSU rRNA". It matches the Rfam family "Bacterial small subunit ribosomal RNA", at positions 8 to 526 of the family's 1533-position model. The record is from RNAcentral.